UUUUGACUUUCCAUAUAUCUCUCUCACAUAAUAUAUACAGGACUUAUACUCACAAGUGUCAACCCACUUUUGAAAGCUUAACUUAACAACUCCUUUAAAUUUAAAAUGAAAAACAUGAAAAGCCUCUUUUGUUUUUCCAUUCUUUUGCUUGUUAUCUCAAUGAAUUUUGGUAUGAAAUAUUAUUAUUGAUUUUUUUUUUACAAAUUAAAGUUUUAUGAGUUUGUGAUGUUUUUACUAACGAUGUUUAUGUGCGGUUGGCUAUUUAUUGCAGGAAAUCAAGUGAUGAUGAUUGAGGCAAAACCAUGCUCAAUCAUUAAAUCUCAUUUCUGUCGUAAAUGGGAGGUUUUGAUUUGCAAAGCAUAUUGCAAGAUUGAAUGCAAAACAAUACAUGCAACUGGAAAAUGCCACGACGACUAUUCGUGUAAUUGUAAUUGUUGUGCUAAUUGAUAGUAUUAUUAUUACUACUAUAAUAAUAACAUUGGGAGUUGGUGUCUAGCGGCAUGGGUGUGUCUUCUAUGGUAGUUUUGAAGUUGAGAUGAGUUUUUCUAAUUAUGAGAUUAGAAGUAGACCUCUAUUAGUUAGUGUCUUUCUAAGUAUGAGAUUAAAAGUAGAACUCUAUUAGUUAGUAUCUAUUUUGAUAUUUUUAGGUUCCGUUUAUAUACGACGCCUAUGUAGUUUCUCUUUCACCAGUCUAUGUUUGUUUUGUGCGAGACCUGGUUAUUUAUAAUAACAUUGGAAGGUUCCAAUUUAUUUUUUAAAACAAUGAAGGUUCCACAUUUUAAAGGUGUAAGAUGGUGAACUAAUAAAUAAAAUGGUUUCAUUA
RNAcentral lists this long non-coding RNA (823 nucleotides) under Trifolium pratense (red clover). RNAcentral describes it as "long non-coding RNA (TPRA_LNC013478)". The record is from RNAcentral. Lineage: Eukaryota; Viridiplantae; Streptophyta; Magnoliopsida; Fabales; Fabaceae.